This 216-nucleotide ribosomal RNA is filed under the name uncultured bacterium. RNAcentral's name for it is "partial 16S ribosomal RNA". It matches the Rfam family "Bacterial small subunit ribosomal RNA", at positions 1284 to 1500 of the family's 1533-position model. The record is from RNAcentral.
UUACUCAGUUCAGAUUGCAGGCUGCAACCCGCCUGCAUGAAGUCGGAAUUGCUAGUAAUCGCGGAUCAGCAUGCCGCGGUGAAUACGUUCCCGGGCCUUGUACACGCCGCCCGUCACACCAUGGGAGCCGGUAAUACCCGAAGUCAGUAGUCCAACCUCGUGAGGACGCUGCCGAAGGUAGGAUUGGCGACUGGGGUGAAGUCGUAACAAGGUAAC